CCUUCCUUUGAAAGAAGAAAAAAGUAGAAAAAAAGGGGAAAAGGAAAGAGAGAGAGAUACGGUUCUUCAUAGAAAAAUCAUGAUGUACGAAGAUCUAACUGUUCAAACUCAAAUCUGAUUUCAGAAACGUGAUCUACAAAGCCCGAUCUACGUUUCUACCGAUUGGUUUGAGGAUUUGUUGUGAGGAGCUUGCUAAACACCCUCCAAGUGUUGGAUUUACAUUUGGUGAAAUUUUUGUGACGCAUUGCAAGGAGGUGUCUAGGAGACCUAGUGCUUAAUAUUCACGC
Long non-coding RNA from Alnus glutinosa, 287 nucleotides. RefSeq lists it as uncharacterized. The transcript has 3 exons. NCBI's taxonomy places the organism in Eukaryota, Viridiplantae, Streptophyta, Magnoliopsida, Fagales, Betulaceae. The record is from RefSeq and is a predicted model, not a curated record.